AUGAGGAGCAGCAGGAAAGGUCGUGGCCUGGUGUUGAGGGGUUCACUGUUUCAUCUCAUUCCUGUGGGUGCCAGAACUUAUCCAAAGGGAAGACUCAGUGUCUCUAGCAAUAGCAGGUCAGAGACAGAAAGUGUCCCAGAGAAGCAGGAAGGAUUGUACACCAUGGACACGGUGUAUGGUUUUAUAGUAGUGCCUCUCUCUCUCUCCCUCCCUCUCUCUCCCUCCCUCCCUCCCUCCCUCCCUCUCUCUCUCUCUCUCUCUACCCCCCCCACCCUCUUUCCCCUAGAUUUCGUGUUCCUGUUAAUGGAAAAUAUCGGUGGUGUAAGUUCCCCUGGAUCUCCUCAUCUUCAUAGGAAAUUGGUAUUUCUAUUCUAAAGUUUUCUGAAAGUCAGCAGUGAGCUUCUGGAGGGUGAGUUACCUGCUCUGCACAGGGAGGCUGAGGCCAAGGCUUGUGUGUGGGCUCUGCUGUCACCAAGAGGUGAGGGUGCCUGGGAGAGUCUUAGUCUUUCUGGGUUUCAGGUUCCUCAUGGGUAAAGUAGGGGCUUAUUGUACCUCUCUGAGGUCCCUUCCUACUCUGUUUCUCUGAGUCUCCGAGGAAUUGAGAUGGUUUUCAGUGCUCCCUGGGACCGUCGGCCGAGACCUGACUGUGUGUGUCUCCUGCAGGAGCCUCAGCUGAGUCUACAUCCUGAAAUCCCAGAGCUGAGGAAAGAAAGAAAGUCAGCAAGUUUAGGGGAUGAGAAUAAUCCAAAAAGGAUAAGCCAUUGAUAGAUGAAAACCAAAGAAGGGGAGAAUAAGGACAAACUGGGACAGAAGCCUCAGGGGAAAUGGGCAAUGCCUAUGAUCACUUAAAUUCUCAGGAAGCAGCAUGAGCUGAGCAGUGGGGACUGAGAGAGAAACUACUCCACAGGAAUCUCCUGCCUCUGGCCAGGGAGAGCCAUAGGGUAGAUCAGAGCUGGUUUAUAGUGAGGGGCAGCUUCAACUCCAGGAGGGGGAGGAUGCGACCGUGCGCCCCCCUCCCUCAGACCCAGGAGCCUCGACCUCGGGGCUGCCGUAGCAGUGGAUGCUCUUCAGGUCACUGUGGGUUCGAGGGAAUAACCGUGCUUACAGAAGGGUUGGAGGUGUUCAUUCUUACACCGAACAGCUCUGCCCUAGGUCAGGUGCCAGAGUAA
RNAcentral lists this long non-coding RNA (1169 nucleotides) under Callithrix jacchus (white-tufted-ear marmoset). Its description in RNAcentral is "lncRNA (ENSCJAG00000075839.1)". The record is from RNAcentral. Lineage: Eukaryota; Metazoa; Chordata; Mammalia; Primates; Cebidae.